GAUGAACGCUGGCGGCGUGCCUAAUACAUGCAAGUCGAGCGAACAGACGAGGAGCUUGCUCCUUUGACGUUAGCGGCGGACGGGUGAGUAACACGUGGGUAACCUACCUAUAAGACUGGGAUAACUUCGGGAAACCGGAGCUAAUACCGGAUAAUAUUUCGAACCGCAUGGUUCGAUAGUGAAAGAUGGCUUUGCUAUCACUUAUAGAUGGACCUGCGCCGUAUUAGCUAGUUGGUAAGGUAACGGCUUACCAAGGCAACGAUACGUAGCCGACCUGAGAGGGUGAUCGGCCACACUGGAACUGAGACACGGUCCAGACUCCUACGGGAGGCAGCAGUAGGGAAUCUUCCGCAAUGGGCGAAAGCCUGACGGAGCAACGCCGCGUGAGUGAUGAAGGUCUUCGGAUCGUAAAACUCUGUUAUUAGGGAAGAACAAACGUGUAAGUAACUGUGCACGUCUUGACGGUACCUAAUCAGAAAGCCACGGCUAACUACGCG
This 497-nucleotide ribosomal RNA is filed under the name uncultured bacterium. RNAcentral describes it as "partial 16S ribosomal RNA". It matches the Rfam family "Bacterial small subunit ribosomal RNA", at positions 28 to 507 of the family's 1533-position model. The record is from RNAcentral.